This 115-nucleotide ribosomal RNA is filed under the name Danio rerio (zebrafish). Lineage: Eukaryota; Metazoa; Chordata; Actinopteri; Cypriniformes; Danionidae. The record is from RNAcentral.
GCCAGCAGCUAGCUCCCUGCAGCUCUCACAUAGUCGCCUGCUGAAUCUAAACAAGGCUGCACCUGGUUAGGAACUGGAUGGGAGACCACAUGGGAAAACAAGGUUGUUGCCAGUA